GUUCAUAAUACCGUGGAUUGUGCUCAUACUAAAAUUGGAACAAUAAAGAGAAGAUUAGCAUGGCCCCUGCUCUAGAUGGCAUGCAAAUUCAUGAAGUGUUCCGUAUUUUU
This is a small nuclear RNA of Rhinolophus ferrumequinum (greater horseshoe bat), 110 nucleotides long. The record is from Ensembl. Lineage: Eukaryota; Metazoa; Chordata; Mammalia; Chiroptera; Rhinolophidae.